CCUACGGGAGGCAGCAGUGGGGAAUAUUGGGCAAUGGGCGCAAGCCUGACCCAGCAACGCCGCGUGAAGGAAGAAGGCUUUCGGUUUGUAAACUUCUUUUGGCAGGGAAGAGUAGAAGACGGUACCUGUCGAAUAAGCCACGGCUAACUACGUGCCAGCAGCCGCGGUAAUACGUAGGUGGCACGCGUUGUCCGGUUGUACUGGGUGGAAAGGGCGUGUAGCCGGGUUGACAAGUCAGAUGUGAAAUCCUGCGGCUUAACCGCAGAACUGCAUUUGAAACUGUUGAUCUGGAGUACUGGAGAGGCAGACGGAAUUCCGAGUGUAGCGGUGAAAUGCGUAGAUAUUAGGAGGAACACCAGUGGCGAAGGCGGUCUGCUGGACAGCAACUGACGGUGAGGCGCGAAAGCGUGGGGAGCAAACAGGAUUAGAUACCCCAGUAGUC
This 442-nucleotide ribosomal RNA is filed under the name uncultured bacterium. RNAcentral describes it as "partial 16S ribosomal RNA". It matches the Rfam family "Bacterial small subunit ribosomal RNA", at positions 338 to 795 of the family's 1533-position model. The record is from RNAcentral.